AAUAAUAAUAAUAAUAAUAACAGGGAUUUAGACACUAGAGUUCUUAAGAAGAUCUAAAAUUUAUUAAUCUCCCCCAAAGCUGACAAUUUGCAUGAAUAAUACAAGAGGUCUAACAGUUCCAAUAUAAUUCAUAUGCAAGUAUAGAAACCCAAGCAUAAUAAAGAAACAUAAGGACAAUAUGCAUGCAUAGAAAUCCAAGCAGAAUAAAGUUGUUACACAUAAAGAAUACAAAUACUAUUAAAAAUCAUAAAGAAACACAAUAUCAGAAGACUUUUAGGGAAAAAAAAGGUGGAUGAUCAGAAAAAUCUAGAAGGAUAAUAAAGCAAAGUCACAUUACUAAUGACCAUUUAACUCAAACAAGUCCAUUAUAUUGCCACAGGUAAUACAGACGCCAAAUAACUUGAAAACAACUAAUAGAGAUCUGACAAAAUAUGGGGAUCUGCAAAGAGGAAGUUCUGAAAUAGAUUUUUAUGUGUUUUAACUUACAAACCAUCCUCAACAGAAUCCCAAUUUCAGAAUAUUACGUACAGUUCAUUAACAGAAAUCUAAAAAAUCUAACAUUCGAAAUAACUAUAUAUAAUUAAACUAAUUGUUAGAUAACCAAAAA
RNAcentral lists this unclassified non-coding RNA (607 nucleotides) under Hevea brasiliensis (rubber tree). Lineage: Eukaryota; Viridiplantae; Streptophyta; Magnoliopsida; Malpighiales; Euphorbiaceae. The record is from RNAcentral.